RNAcentral lists this ribosomal RNA (434 nucleotides) under uncultured bacterium. Its description in RNAcentral is "bacterial SSU rRNA". It matches the Rfam family "Bacterial small subunit ribosomal RNA", at positions 958 to 1392 of the family's 1533-position model. The record is from RNAcentral.
AACGCGAAGAACCUUACCAAGUCUUGACAUCCCCCUGACCGGAACUUAACCGUUCCUUUCCUACGGGACAGGGGAGACAGGUGGUGCAUGGUUGUCGUCAGCUCGUGUCGUGAGAUGUUGGGUUAAGUCCCGCAACGAGCGCAACCCUUAUCCUUAGUAGCCAGCAGUUCGGCUGGGCACUCUAGGGAGACUGCCAGGGAUAACCUGGAGGAAGGUGGGGAUGACGUCAAAUCAUCAUGCCCCUUAUGAUUUGGGCUACACACGUGCUACAAUGGCGUAAACAAAGGGAAGCGACCCCGCGAGGGUAAGCAAAUCUCAAAAAUAACGUCUCAGUUCGGAUUGCAGGCUGCAACUCGCCUGCAUGAAGCUGGAAUCGCUAGUAAUCGCGAAUCAGAAUGUCGCGGUGAAUACGUUCCCGGGUCUUGUACACACCG